Molecule: ribosomal RNA, 251 nt
Filed under: uncultured prokaryote
Description: partial 16S ribosomal RNA
Rfam family: Bacterial small subunit ribosomal RNA
Source: RNAcentral
ACGUAGGGGGCAAGCGUUGUCCGGAUUUAUUGGGCGUAAAGCGCUCGCAGGUGGUUCAUUGCGUCGUGCGUGAAAGACCCCGGCUCAACUGGGGAGGGUCGUGCGAAACGGGUGAACUAGAGGCCAGUAGGGGGAUGCGGAAUUCCGGGUGUAGUGGUGGAAUGCGUAGAGAUCCGGAGGAACACCAGCGGCGAAGGCGGCAUCCUGGACUGGUCCUGACACUCAGGAGCGAAAGCGUGGGGAGCGAUCCG